AGGACGAACGCUGGCGGCGUGCUUCACACAUGCAAGUCGAACGGGGCUCAUUCGGUGGUAACACCGGAGAAGGCCUAGUGGCGAACGGGUGCGUAACACGUGAAGAACCUGCCCCGAAGACUGGGAUAACAGCGGGAAACCGCUGCUAAUACCGGAUGACCCCACCAGGCCGCAUGGCCAGGUGAGGAAAUGGGCCUACCGCUUCGGGAGGGCUUCGCGGCCUAUCAGCUUGUUGGUGGGUAACGGCCUACCAAGGCUACGACGGGUAGCUGGUCUGAGAGGACGACCAGCCACACUGGGACUGAGACACGGCCCAGACUCCUACGGGAGGCAGCAGUGGGGAAUCUUGCGCAAUGGGCGAAAGCCUGACGCAGCAACGCCGCGUGAGGGAUGAAGGUCUUCGGGUUGUAAACCUCUUUCGAGCGAGGGACGUAUUGUGACGGUACCUGCAGAAGAAGCUCCGGCAACUACGCGCCAGCAGCCGCGGU
RNAcentral lists this ribosomal RNA (488 nucleotides) under uncultured bacterium. Its description in RNAcentral is "SSU rRNA". It matches the Rfam family "Bacterial small subunit ribosomal RNA", at positions 26 to 521 of the family's 1533-position model. The record is from RNAcentral.